This 1431-nucleotide long non-coding RNA is filed under the name Triticum aestivum (bread wheat). Its description in RNAcentral is "long non-coding RNA (TAES_LNC006529)". Lineage: Eukaryota; Viridiplantae; Streptophyta; Magnoliopsida; Poales; Poaceae. The record is from RNAcentral.
ACAGAGAUCCGUGUGAAACCUCAGCCGAGCUCCUUGUUUAAUCUCCAAAUCUUGGAUAUAGCAUAGCUGAUUAGUUUCCAAGAAGAGGCGAUCCAACUUCAGCUUAGCUCCUAGUCAGAUGUUAAUUCUGCAAGCUAACCACUUGUAUAAUAACUAUUCCAUCCUACAUAAUGGCAUUCAAUUCCACACAAUUCUUCCUGUAAAAACAUAAAACAUACAACUGUGUCAAUUAAGUGUUAUUAACUGCUAAGAACAAAUGGCCCUCAACCAAACUAAACAUACAUACUACACUGCUGCCAUAUAGUCAUAUAGGGGUAUCAGAUGGUCGAAAUAUGCCCAAAUUUUCCUAAAUGUUGAUCUAACAACAUUUCAGAUGUAUCAUGUAUGGAGAAACAAAUAGGUAGUGUUGUUGAUUAAGCUGAUAUGCACCCCCGAUCAAGAAGAUAAAUAAGAAAACAAAGCUAUAAUGCCAUAGGAGUCAUCAGGAGACGACAUCAAUGUAUUACUACGUAUUCCGAACUACGGCACUGAUCCAUUCGUGGUCGCUACUCACCCCGACAGAGGCCAGGAAGCAUUUGGUUACUGGAUCUUUCCGCUGGGAGAUGGUAGCUCGGGAUAUCUUCAACCGGUUUGGAUGGCGGUCAUGUAAUAGGAUAGGCAUUUAGUUUACCUAUCUAGUUUUAGCCAGCCGGUUGUGGCAUCUUUUCAUGGCUAGUUGGUGUUUCUAGCCCGUCUUGGCUCUGUGUGAGCUUUCUUUACUUUUCAUUACUUUUGAAGACCUUGGAACCAUGUUCGCACUGCUUUAUUUGGUUAAUAAGAUGGCCGUAUGCAUCACUCUGAUGCAGAGGCCGGGGAGUCCCCCUUUAAAAAAAAUGUAUUACUGCUCUAAUUGAAAUAAGGUGUCAUCUUCACUUUAGGAGAUCCUGACACAAGAGGAAUGUUGUCUCCCUACAUUAUCGUAACUUCUAUGCAAGAGCAUAUGCCCAUCAGGUGCUUAAGUAUUAACAAUAUAAUUACCAACAACUACACUGCAGCUUAAUAUAGAAAUUUUGUCAAAAUAAUGAAGGGCGGGAAUUAGGGAAUGCAUAUAUUACUACCGUAGUAAAGGAGGAAUACAUAACUAAUAACAAGAUGCAAGGACCAUAAAUCACACAUGUCUUCUAAUUUAACUGCUAGGCACAACAAAAUGUAUAUGUACUUAUUACAAGCAGUACAACACUUCACAUCUCGUCAAUUCAUCAGUGGAAGCGACAUCAGAUGAGAUCAAGUCAAACAAUUUCAAAGCAAACAACUUAGGAUGGCAAUGCUUAACUAAGGAUUGAGCUCAUGUAUAUGGAGGAUAAAAUCAUAUUGCCUGGUUGGCUUACAUCAUCGUUGCCACUGGGGGUCUACUUCGCCGUGGCCACGACCAACAAGGAGGAAACAUGGCAC